This 253-nucleotide ribosomal RNA is filed under the name uncultured bacterium. RNAcentral describes it as "partial 16S ribosomal RNA". It matches the Rfam family "Bacterial small subunit ribosomal RNA", at positions 524 to 776 of the family's 1533-position model. The record is from RNAcentral.
UACGAGUGCCCCAAGCGUUAUCCGGAAUCAUUGGGCGUAAAGGGCUCGUAGGCGGCCAACUAAGUCAGACGUGAAAUCCCUCGGCUUAACCGGGGAACUGCGUCUGAUACUGGAUGGCUUGAGAUUGGGAGAGGGAUGCGGAAUUCCCAGUGUAGAGGUGAAAUUCGUAGAUAUUGGGAAGAACACCGGUGGCGAAGGCGGCUAUCUGGACCGACAUUGACGCUGAGGCGCGAAAGCGUGGGGAGCAAACAGG